Podarcis lilfordi (Lilford's wall lizard) is the source of this 75-nucleotide non-coding RNA. The record is from the annotation of a GenBank genome assembly. NCBI's taxonomy places the organism in Eukaryota, Metazoa, Chordata, Lepidosauria, Squamata, Lacertidae.
GCCCACCCCAUAGCUCAGUGGUAGAGCAUCAGUUUUGCAUGCAGAAAGUCCCAGGUUUGAUUCCCAGCCUCUCCA